Molecule: long non-coding RNA, 169 nt
Organism: Corapipo altera (White-ruffed manakin)
Lineage: Eukaryota; Metazoa; Chordata; Aves; Passeriformes; Pipridae
Exons: 3
Source: RefSeq, a predicted model, not a curated record
AGCAGUUGAAGAGAGAGGAGCCUUCUAGGUAUCCCGGAAGGUGACAGCCACAGUGUCCGACUCCGGUCUGGCCUCGGUGAUGUUGACUUGGAGUACUCUCAUGAUGACAGGAACCUCUGAGCCAGCCCAGGUGCCCCUCCUCUGCAUCGAAGAUGGAUUCUCGUCCCCG